RNAcentral lists this long non-coding RNA (569 nucleotides) under Helianthus annuus (common sunflower). Its description in RNAcentral is "hypothetical non coding rna". The record is from RNAcentral. Lineage: Eukaryota; Viridiplantae; Streptophyta; Magnoliopsida; Asterales; Asteraceae.
GAUCCACCACGCCUUUACAGUGCCUCCAUCCAGAUCCGCCACACCGCCACCUCCAUCCAUCCAAAUCGCCACACCACAGUCUCAGAAUCUGUUUGAACGACGGCUAACUAAUCCGGCGCGUGAACCGUUCCGAUCGAGAGCUUGGGUGACGGUGAAGCUCAUGGCGGAAAUCAGACGGGGACGAUUUUGUAAACAGGGGUCCCUUCAAAACCACUGUGCAAACCACCAUACGCGGCAGAUCUCUUCCCCAUCGGUAGUAUUCCGGUGACGAUGUGUCAAAAUCGGUAUUUAGAGUGUAUACAAAACAGCAACACAGAUCUAUGAUCCAAACUGUUAUAAAAGAACGAAACGAAAAAUAAAAAACAAUAAGGUAGGAUUGUACUCCUUUUGUUACAUUUUUUUUGCUUCUUGAAGAGUUGUAAGAAGGGGAACUUGCAAUGUUGCGAUUCAACUGUUUGCUGCUCAUCACAGUUUGAUUCAAAGAACUAAACCAUGAAUCUAACCUUCAUUUUGAUGGGUUUUGUGCUUGUAAUAUUUUUUGUUUUAUUUAUUAAUAAACAUUUUAAAUA